RNAcentral lists this ribosomal RNA (453 nucleotides) under uncultured bacterium. Its description in RNAcentral is "partial 16S ribosomal RNA". It matches the Rfam family "Bacterial small subunit ribosomal RNA", at positions 28 to 523 of the family's 1533-position model. The record is from RNAcentral.
AGCGAACGCUGGCGGCAUGCCUAACACAUGCAAGUCGCGCGGUCGGGUAACACCGGCAGCGGCGGACGGGUGAGUAGCGCGUAGGAACGUGCCCGGAGGUGGGGGACAACCCUGGGAAACCGGGGCUAAUACCGCAUGGGGCCCGAGGGCCAAAGCCGCAAGGCGCUUCCGGAGCGGCCUGCGUCCGAUUAGCUGGUUGGCGGGGUAACGGCCCACCAAGGCUCCGAUCGGUAGCUGGUCUGAGAGGACGAUCAGCCACACUGGGACUGAGACACGGCCCAGACUCCUACGGGAGGCAGCAGUGGGGAAUAUUGGGCAAUGGGCGCAAGCCUGACCCAGCAAUGCCGCGUGGGUGAAGAAGGUCUUCGGAUUGUAAAGCCCUUUCGGCGGGGACGAUGGUGACGGUACCCGCAGAAGAAGCCCCGGCCAACUUCGUGCCAGCCGCCGCGGUAA